CCAGGAUAUGCUGUUUAAAAAGCACUAAAGCCAAAGAUAUUGACGCCAGUGGCCUUAGCCCUGUCAUAGUGAUUUUCAGAGGUAUCCACCACCCUUCUCAAUUUAGCAGAAAUGAUCAGCCUGGAGAGGCAUGCUAGCUGAUUAAAACCAAUUGUCAGGGAAGGGAAGGACAAGGCAACCUCUUUGCUGCAUGAUAAACUAACUUCAUGGAAGCAGACAAUCUCCCCCCUCAGGGAAAUCGCUCCAGUUGUUAAUUAAAGCAUUGUGUUUUCGCUCAGCUUUCUGUAUUAUCUCCACGUGUACGUACUUGAGAGAAGAAUAAGGACGUUACCAAGAAACUAAGACAUCAGAUGAAGAGCGAUGACAGCAGAGGACCGGCCCUGUUGUCUGUCAAUGUAGGAUAAUAGAGAGGUGAAAUGUUUAGUACACAUUCAGUAAUUAAAACUGAAUAAUGUUCUCGAAACGUGAUAAUUGUGUCACUGCUCACUCCCUCAUACUAGAAUAUGUUCACAGAUUGUAACAAUUGAUCCUCCGUCACAAUAGAAUAUGUUCACAGAUUGGAAACUUUGAUCCUCCGUCACAAUAGAAUAUGUUCACAGAUUGGAAACUUUGAUCCAAUGUUCUGGAAAGAUUGACUUAUCUGAAACGUGGCGUUUCACAAGUCUAUUAUCACGCCCACAACUUUGUUUCCCUGCCGUGCUGCAGCUCUAAAGUCACAACUAAGGCAAUGUGAACAUUACAUUUUAGUCAUUUAGCAGACGCUCUUAUCCAGAGCGACUUACAGUAGUGAAUGCAUACAUUUCUUUUUUUUUUUUCCCGUACUGGUCCCCCGUGGGAAUCAAACCCACAACCCUGGCGUUGCAAACACCAUGCUCUACCAACUGAGCCACACGGGACCGAUUCAUUGGCUACAGUUCACAAGUAUAAAGAAACUACCCAUUGGGCAAAAACUGCUUGAAUCAAUGUUGUUUCCACAUCAUUUCAACACAAUCAUUUUAUGUGAUGAUGAAAAAAGUAAUCAACGUAAGGUAAUUUCGUAUGUUUUUCACUCAACUUUGAACCUAAAUCCAACAACGUCACAUUUUUGGUUGUUUUCAUGUUGAAUUCACAUUAGUUGACAACUCAACCAAAUGUAAAUCAAAACUAAACGUUGAACUGAUGUCUGUGCCCAG
This 1172-nucleotide long non-coding RNA is filed under the name Salmo salar (Atlantic salmon). RNAcentral describes it as "lncRNA (ENSSSAG00000086388.1)". Lineage: Eukaryota; Metazoa; Chordata; Actinopteri; Salmoniformes; Salmonidae. The record is from RNAcentral.